CGCACCUUGCACCCUUUGGUAUUCCGAAGGGUAUGCCUGUUUGAGUGUCAUUAAAUUCUCAAAAUCAAAUCUUUUGGUUUUGGACUUGAGGUUUGCUGGCUUUGAGUCGGCUCCCUUUAAAUGCAUGAGUGGCUUUGCCUGCAUAUUAUAAGAUUGUAAUUUGCAUCUUUUAAUUGCACUGACUUGCUGCUAUCUAACUGUUUCCUUUGAAACAAUUUGAACCAUUUGACCUCAAAUCAGGUAGGACUACCCGCUGAACUUAA
Molecule: unclassified non-coding RNA, 263 nt
Filed under: Henningsomyces candidus
Lineage: Eukaryota; Fungi; Basidiomycota; Agaricomycetes; Agaricales; Schizophyllaceae
Description: partial contains 5.8S ribosomal RNA, internal transcribed spacer 2, and large subunit ribosomal RNA
Source: RNAcentral